UACGAAGGGUGCAAGCGUUAUUCGGAACCAUUGGGCGUAAAGCGCGUGUAGGCGGAUCGGCAAGUCUGCUGUGAAAGCUCCUGGCUUAACCGGGAGUGGUCGGUGGAAACUGCCAGUCUGGAGGACGGUAGAGGUAGGUAGAAUUCCCGGUGUAGUGGUGAAAUGCGUAGAGAUCGGGAGGAAUACCUGUGGCGAAGGCGGCCUACUGGGCCGGACCUGAC
RNAcentral lists this ribosomal RNA (221 nucleotides) under uncultured bacterium. Its description in RNAcentral is "partial 16S ribosomal RNA". It matches the Rfam family "Bacterial small subunit ribosomal RNA", at positions 524 to 744 of the family's 1533-position model. The record is from RNAcentral.